RNAcentral lists this ribosomal RNA (497 nucleotides) under uncultured bacterium. RNAcentral describes it as "partial 16S ribosomal RNA". It matches the Rfam family "Bacterial small subunit ribosomal RNA", at positions 28 to 507 of the family's 1533-position model. The record is from RNAcentral.
GAUGAACGCUGGCGGCGUGCCUAAUACAUGCAAGUCGAGCGAACAGACGAGUUCCUUGCCCCUUUGACGUUAGCGGCGGACGGGUGAGUAACACGUGGUUAACCUACCUAUAAGACUGGGAUAACUUCGGGAAACCAGUGCUAAUACCUAAUAAUAUUUCGAACCGCAUGGUUCGAUAAUGAAAGAUGGCUUUGCUAUCCCUGAUAGAUGUACCUGCGCCGGAUUAGCUACGUGUUAAGGUAACGGCUUACCAAGGCAACGAUACGAAGCCGACCUGAGAGGGGGGUCGGACACCCCGGACGUGAGACAAGGUCCAGACUACAACGGGAGGGAGGAGUAGGGAGACUAACGCAGUGGGAGAAAGCCUGACGGAGCAAAGCCGCGCGAGUGAUGAAGGUCUGCGGAUAGUAAAAGUCAGUUAUUAGGGAAGAACGAACGUGUAAGUAACUGGGAACGACUUGAAGGUACCUAACCAGAAAGCAACGGCUAACUACGUG